RNAcentral lists this long non-coding RNA (1668 nucleotides) under Olea europaea subsp. europaea. The record is from RNAcentral. Lineage: Eukaryota; Viridiplantae; Streptophyta; Magnoliopsida; Lamiales; Oleaceae.
UGAUCACCUAUGACAUUCAUGUAGUAUAUCGAAACCAAAGAUCAUAUAACCAUAAUCCAACAUAUAUAUUCUAAGAUUAUAAAAGUAUCUAUAGAACAUUUCAAAAGGUAUACAUAUACAAUAAAAGAUCCCCAAAAUAUAAUACAGUCGAAGUCUACAAAAUAACCCAAUAGGUCGUUAUCCAUGGACAUCAAACUUUGAAAUCCUGUAAGAGCUUCACAACUAGCCAUGAACUCUAUGAAGUUCCAUGUUCACCUACAAUGCGAGAAUUACAUAAUCUAAUAUUCAGUAAGCAAAAAACAUGUAUGUCAUGAGUAUGAUUAGCAAUUAGCAAUAGUCUAUGACACCAUGCUAUUUACUUUAAACAUCUCGCUAAAGAUGCAUCAUAUUCAAAUGUUCGGAAAUCACAUACUCAAUGAUCAUAACUAUCAUAUGAUGUACAGUGAGCUCCUCAUCAAAGUUAUGCAAAUAUUAUAACAUAAAUACUAUGUUCUUGCAUCGUAGUUGCGAAUCAAUUUUUACUUACCUUUCGCCCUUGUGUGUGCACUUCUACGGAGUGUAGAUCAAUUUUCUUUUUCACUUAAAGUCGAAAAACCACUUGUAUUACCAUUUAAUAUUAAACACAAUCCUCAAUUUAAUAACCUUAACACACACACACAAUCUCGUGGUAAGUUCAUUCAUGCCAAAAUAAUUUAGACUACAUUAUCAUUUCAAGUUACUGAUUGCAUUGCAAACUAGUCCCAUAAAUCUCACUAUUUCUCGAGUCCAAUUAUGAAUUCUCAAUGUCAUCCAAUUGUUAUUAACAACCUAGCACUCAUUAAAAUAUAUUUUCCAGGCCUAAAAGAUGAUUAGUGCACAUGUAAAAGUCGAAACUAUAAAAACUACCAAAAAAGACAGAAUCUGCUUUUGAGUUUUAGUUGCUGCCAUGUCCAGUUUCACCCAUCUUUUCACACCCUUAAUCAUUUUUAUGAUAACAAUCCAAAUUUUAAGAUUUAAAUCAUUCCUAAAAGUUUCAUUUAAUAAUUUAAAUAAACAUAUUGAACAUCACAACAUGAAUUUUUUGGUUCCACUAAUAAUAAAUAAAACAUAUAGAAAGCAUAACCAAAUAAAAUAUGUUCCAAAUCUUAAAUAACAAAAUUCACAUGAUAAUAAAACCAAAAUAAUGUUGAAAAUAAAAUCCAUAGUCACGUUACUCUGGAUUAUUUUUAUUGAGAUCCAUAAAUUUUGGCACCAUGACUGCACCUCAUCACACGCAAAUCAAUGACUCAUUAUAACCUGUAAAGAGUGGGGGGAAAAGGAUGAGUAUAUGAUAAUACUUAGUAGAACACUAAAAUAAUAAUGCAAUCCCGAAUAAAAAUAUUCAAAACAUGUGUCAAAAAUAUCAUACCGACAUUAUAUCUUUAGAAAUUGGUGAAAGCUCAAUACAUGUCAUAUCUUUGGUAUCAGAUGGUCAUAUCAUACACAUCAUAUCAUAUUUUUAACUUUUAUAAGUACAAUAAUUUGACAACAUGAAAAAAUAAUUUAAAUGGGAUAAGAACAAUUGCACCUCAUUAUCUUACCUCGUUAGAUCAAACAAAUUUUUGAAAAAACAAAACCAAAAUCACGUUUCAACUUUAUUUUCAGCCCGUUGUUGUGUUUAUAAAAAUUAUAUAGUAUGGUGAAAGGAAA